GACGAACGCUGGCGGCGUGCUUAACACAUGCAAGUCGAACGGAAAGGCCCUGCUUUUGUGGGGUGCUCGAGUGGCGAACGGGUGAGUAACACGUGAGUAACCUGCCCUUGACUUUGGGAUAACUUCAGGAAACUGGGGCUAAUACCGGAUAGGAGCUCCUGCUGCAUGGUGGGGGUUGGAAAGUUUCGGCGGUUGGGGAUGGACUCGCGGCUUAUCAGCUUGUUGGUGGGGUAGUGGCUUACCAAGGCUUUGACGGGUAGCCGGCCUGAGAGGGUGACCGGCCACAUUGGGACUGAGAUACGGCCCAGACUCCUACGGGAGGCAGCAGUGGGGAAUAUUGCAAAAUGGGCGGAAGCCUGAUGCAGCAACGCCGCGUGCGGGAUGACGGCCUUUGGGUUGUAAACCGCUUUCGCCUGUGACGAAGCGUGAGUGACGGUAAUGGGUAAAGAAGCACCGGCUAACUACGUG
Molecule: ribosomal RNA, 468 nt
Filed under: uncultured bacterium
Lineage: Bacteria
Description: partial 16S ribosomal RNA
Rfam family: Bacterial small subunit ribosomal RNA
Source: RNAcentral